Molecule: long non-coding RNA, 2379 nt
Filed under: Melopsittacus undulatus (budgerigar)
Lineage: Eukaryota; Metazoa; Chordata; Aves; Psittaciformes; Psittaculidae
Description: lncRNA (ENSMUNG00000020288.1)
Source: RNAcentral
CCCCCCCUCCCCUCCCCCCCACGUGACCUCCCAUUGAACUCAAUGGGGGAGGGGUGUGAGAACUCCAACUCCCAUCAUGCCCCGCGGUGAAGGACAACAUCCGGGGACUACAAAACCCAAAGCCUUUUAAUGGGGGGGGGGGGGGAAGAUUUUGGGGCAAUUUCCCCCUUUUUUGGGGCUGUUUGUAUAACUUAAAUAACUUAAAGCGAGAGGAAAGGGGGGAGGGGUCUCCCCCCCCAAAAUUAACCAAAACCCCCCAAAAACAGCCCAAAAAGCCAAAGCUGGAGGUGGGAGCUCAUAGGGACCAUUUAUUCCAACCCCCCCCCCCAAAAACAGGGAUAUUGGGGUCCCCCCCUUGGGGUAUUUGCCCCCAAUGGGGUAUUUGGGGUCCCAAUGGGGUAUUUGAUGCCCCCAAGGGGGUAUUUGAUGCCCCCAAGGGGGUAUUUGGGACCUGAAUGGGGUAUUUAAUGCCCCCAAGGGGGUAUUUGGGACCUGAAUGGGGUAUUUAAUGCCCCCAAGGGGGUAUUUGGGGUCCCAAUGGGGUAUUUAAUGCCCCCAAGGGGGUAUUUGGGGCCCCAGUGGGGUAUUUAAUGCCCCCAAGGGGGUAUUUGGGACCUGAAUGGGGUAUUAAUGCCCCCAAGGGGAUAUUUGGGGCAAUUAAAGCCUCCAGGGGGGUAUUUCAGACACCAAAGGGGGUAUUUGAUUCCCCCCCCCGGGGGUAUCCACAGCCCCACAGGGAAACUGAUGGGGGGGGGAUUUGAGGCUCUCCAUGGGGUAUUUCCCCCCCCCCAUUGCCCAUAGGGGGGUACUUAAACCCCAAAUGGGGGGGGUGUUUAAACCCCAAAGGGGGGGCACUGAAACCCCAAUGGGGGGGUACUUAAACCCCAAUGGGGGAGGGUAUUUAAAUCCCAAAGGGGGGGUAUUUAAACCCCAAUGGGGGGGCACUGAUACCCCAAUGGGGGGGUAUUUAAACCCCAGUGGGGGGGUAUUUACACCCCAAAUGGGGGUAUUUACACCCCAAAUGGGGGUACAUUUAUGGCCCCCCCCCCCUAUUUAAAGCCUCCUUAGGGCCCUUUUCUUAUCCACCUUCUUCUUGGGGGGGGGGGCAGGUUUCUUCUCCCUGUCCCCCGCGUGCUUCUUGGGCUGGGGUCCGUCGGGGGGGGGGGGGGGGGGGGGGGGGGGGUUAGGGGGCGGGGCCGAGGUGGAGGGGGCGGAGCUUGCGGAGGGGGCGGGGCCUCGGGCGUGGAUCUCGGUCAGCAGCCGGGCUCGGGCCGCGUACUCCUCAUAGUUCUCCAGCAGGAGGCGUCCGGCCUCCUCGUUCAGGGCUGACUCCGGGUUGGGGUGGAUCAGGAGGCACUUGAUGGUCUGGGGGGGGGGGGAAAGGGGGGUAAAUAACAGCAUCACAUCCCAUAAUAUACAUACCCCAUCCCAUAAUAUACAUCCUGACAGCCCAUAAUAAACAUCCCCCAUCCCAUAAUAUACAUCCCACCAUCCCAUAAUAUACCCCUUACCUUCAAUACACAUCCCCAUCCCAUAAUAUACCCCUCACCCUUAAUAUAUAUCCCCCAUCCCAUAAUAUACAUCCCACAUCCCAUAACAUACAUACCCCAUCCCAUAAUAUACAUUUCUCAUCCCAUAAUAUACAUAACCCAUCCCAUAAUAUACAUAACCCAUCCCAUAAUAUACAUCCCCCCAUCCCAUAAUAUACAUCCCCCAUCCCAUAAUAUACCCCUCACCCUUAAUAUAUAUCCCCCAUCCCAUAAUAUACAUCUUGACAUCCCAUAAUAUACACCCCCAUCCCAUAAUAUACAUCCCUCAUUCCAUAAUAUACAUCCCCAUCCCAUAAUAUACAUCCCCCAUCCCAUAAUAUACAUCCCACCAUCCCAUAAUAUACAUCCCCCCAUCCCAUAAUAUACAUCCCCCAUCCCAUAAUAGACAUCCCCCAUCCCAUAAUACACAUCCUGACAUCCCAUAAUACACCUGUUACCCUUAAUAUAUAUCCCCCAUCCCAUAAUAUACCCCUUAGCCUUAAUAUGUAUUCCCCAUCCCAUAAUAUACUGCAUACCCUUAAUAUACAUACCCCAUCCCAUGAUAUACCCCUUAUCCUUAAUAUAAGCCCACCAUCCCAUAAUACACCCCUUACCCUUAAUACACAUCCCACCAUCCCAUAAUAUACCACUUACCUUCAAUACACAUGCGCAUCCCAUAAUACACCCAUUACCCUUAACAUAAACCUGCCUUUCCAUAAUAUACUCCUUACCUUUAAUAUACAUCCCCCAUCCCAUAAUACACUCCUUACCUUCAAUAUAAGCCUGCCAUCCCAUCCCAUCCCCAUCCCAUCCCCAUUCCCAUCCCAGUACAUCCCAGUACACACCAGUA